This 492-nucleotide ribosomal RNA is filed under the name uncultured bacterium. RNAcentral describes it as "partial 16S ribosomal RNA". It matches the Rfam family "Bacterial small subunit ribosomal RNA", at positions 29 to 507 of the family's 1533-position model. The record is from RNAcentral.
AGUGAACGCUGGCGGUGGGCCUAAUACAUGCAAGUCGAACGGACACACGGUAAGAGCUUGCUCCUAACGGUGGCGGGGGGCGGGCGGGUGAGGAAUACAUAGGAAACUACUUUUUCGGGGGGGAUAACGUAGGAACACUUCCGAUAAUACCGAAUACGACCUACGGGUGAAAGCAAUGGAGCUUCGGGCCUUGGCCGAUUGAAUGAGCCGAUGUCGGAUUAGCUAGUUGGCGGGGUAACGGCCCACCAAGGCGACGAUCCGUAGCUGGUCUGAGAGGAUGAUCAGCCACACUGGAACUGAGACACGGUCCAGACUCCUACGGGAGGCAGCAGUGGGGAAUCUUCGACAAUGGGCGCAAGCCUGAUCCAGCCAUACCGCGUGGGUGAUGAAGGCCUUCGGGUCGUAAAGCUCUUUUGUUGGGGAAGAACAGCAGCAUGUGUAUACCUCGCCGUUUUGACGGUACCUAAACAAUAAGCACCGGCUAACUUCGUG